Molecule: non-coding RNA, 47 nt
Filed under: Schistosoma mansoni
Lineage: Eukaryota; Metazoa; Platyhelminthes; Trematoda; Strigeidida; Schistosomatidae
Source: RNAcentral
GCACUGCUGAGGAGUCCCUAUAGUAGGACGAAACAGCCGUCCAGUGC